UGGGGAAUUUUGGACAAUGGGCGAAAGCCUGAUCCAGCCAUGCCGCGUGAGUGAAGAAGGCCUUCGGGUUGUAAAGCUCUUUCAGCCGGAAAGAAAUCGCGCAGGAUAAUACUCUGCGUGGAUGACGGUAUCGGAAGAAUAAGCACCGGCUAACUACGUGCCAGCAGCCGCGGUAAUACGUAGGGUGCAAGCGUUAAUCGGAAUUACUGGGCGUAAAGCGUGCGCAGGCGGUUGUGUAAGUCAGAUGUGAAAUCCCCAGGCUCAACCUGGGAAUUGCAUUUGAGACUGCACGGCUAGAGUGUGUCAGAGGGGGGUAGAAUUCCACGUGUAGCAGUGAAAUGCGUAGAUAUGCGGAGGAACACCGAUGGCGAAGGCAAUCCCCUGGACCUGUACUGACGCUCAUGCACGAAAGCGUGGGGAGCAAACA
This 427-nucleotide ribosomal RNA is filed under the name uncultured bacterium. RNAcentral's name for it is "bacterial SSU rRNA". It matches the Rfam family "Bacterial small subunit ribosomal RNA", at positions 355 to 774 of the family's 1533-position model. The record is from RNAcentral.